RNAcentral lists this unclassified non-coding RNA (405 nucleotides) under soil metagenome. Its description in RNAcentral is "partial contains 5.8S ribosomal RNA, internal transcribed spacer 2, and large subunit ribosomal RNA". The stretch from base 1 to 121 matches the Rfam family "5.8S ribosomal RNA", at positions 35 to 154 of the family's 154-position model. The record is from RNAcentral.
GAUGAAGAACGUAGCGAAAUGCGAUAAGUAGUGUGAAUUGCAGAAUUCAGUGAAUCAUCGAAUCUUUGAACGCACCUUGCGCCCUUUGGACAUUCCGAAGGGCAUGCCUGUUUGAGUAUCAUGAACACCUCAACUCUCACGGCUUGUCCGUGAUGAGCUUGGACUUUGGGGGUCUUGCCGGCCUGUGGUCGGCUCCUCUCAAAUGGAUCAGCUUGCCAGUGUUUGGUGGCAUCACAGGUGUGAUAACUAUCUGCGCUUGUGGUUUUCCAUCAGAUAACCUUCAGUGAUAUGGAGGUUCGCUGGAGCUCACAAAUGUCUCUCCUUAGUGAGGACAGCUCUUUGAACGUUUGAUCUCAAAUCAGGUAGGACUACCCGCUGAACUUAAGCAUAUCGAUAAGCGGAGGA